UACGAAGGGGGCUAGCGUUGCUCGGUAAUGACUGGGCGAUAAAGGGCGCGUAGGCGGUUUAUGCAGUCGGGGCGUGAAAAUUCCUGGGCUCAACCUGGGGGCUGCGCCACGAGACGCAUGGACUGGAGUAGGGAAGGAGGGUCGUGGAAUUCCCAGUGUAGAGGUGAAAUUCGUAGAUAUUGGGAAGAACACCGGUCGGUGCGAAA
This 206-nucleotide ribosomal RNA is filed under the name uncultured bacterium. RNAcentral describes it as "partial 16S ribosomal RNA". It matches the Rfam family "Bacterial small subunit ribosomal RNA", at positions 524 to 720 of the family's 1533-position model. The record is from RNAcentral.